Molecule: long non-coding RNA, 497 nt
Organism: Poecilia latipinna (sailfin molly)
Lineage: Eukaryota; Metazoa; Chordata; Actinopteri; Cyprinodontiformes; Poeciliidae
Exons: 2
Source: RefSeq, a predicted model, not a curated record
UGCUCUUUAUUUCACUCCUACGACAUCAGCAAAACAAGAACACUGAUGCAGAAACAAACAUCACUCAUCUCCCAGCAGUCAUGUGACUCAGAGCUGUGACUCCAAACGAAAGACUGCAGAGCUCAGAGUUUUAAACAAUCCAGGAAGUCACAGAGGGGUCUGCUAUCAUCUUAGGCAUAAGUUCUUACAGCAAACAUAUCAAACUCUGCCAUACAGUAAUGAAACUCCAGCACCAGCUCACUACUCUAUAGAAUCACACAAUAUGUCAGAAGUUUCUCCUUACCUGUGAGAGCACAGCAGGCAACAAGGAUCAACACAGCAACUCUCUGCAUGGUGACAGGUCUUGACUGACGGCCUUGUUAACUGUUCUUCACACCAGCCUGAUAUGCAAGAAGAGGGAGGCACCUCUUUCCAUAAAUACACGGCUGAGUCAAGGCAGUGCAACAGCAGAGGAAGCACAAACAGCAUCCUUCAAAAUAAAAGCAACACCCGUUAAA